Molecule: long non-coding RNA, 837 nt
Organism: Toxotes jaculatrix (banded archerfish)
Lineage: Eukaryota; Metazoa; Chordata; Actinopteri; Toxotidae
Exons: 5
Source: RefSeq, a predicted model, not a curated record
AGCUGAUAAGCCCCAUUACGAUGAAGCACAAUCUGCCAGCAAAUGUUUAAUACGCUGCUGAUGGACACUCUAACAAGAUACCCGCCUUUGCGUGGCUCGAGAUAACGUCAGGUCGCACCGUUUCCUGGUGAGCUUGAAAGGCUUGGUGCUAACGCAACUAGCUGCUAACAAGCUAACAACAGUUACUUGGACAGCCGCGGAUCAUGUGAUCCAUUCGGACAGAAACAACCACCGAGUGCUGAGGCCACAGUGAGGAGCUCUGUCUGCCAUGCCUGGUCUCUGCUUUGGCUCUGCUCCCACACUGGAUAUGCAUUGUUAUCCAGCAGCACCCUGAGGACACCCACAUCAUGUCCGACCACACGGUAAUCGAAGCCAUAGCAACACUCCAGUCUCCUGCCAUAGCGACACACACCUGGUUGGUUUCCAGUAAGGACUUGUCGGUAGUGCCUUUGUAAAAGAAGAGAGGUGUGGAAGGCUGCAGUUCAGCAUAUGGGAGGGCAGCUGGGAGAGCUGGUGUCAGCAGCAGCCGAGUUGAACACAUGGGUUUGUGGUACCGAACGGCGUUAGCAGUGAGUGCACACAGCUACGGUGAGCUCCAAGUGGAAAACGUGUCAGUAAGUCAUUACCCUCACUGCUUAAAGCAAACCUUUGCCCCAUAGUACUCAAGUGAAUUUUUAAACUCUUUAGGGUUGUAAUGCUUUCAUUUAAAUGGCUGGCAGUUAGUUUGGUGACAUAUCAAGGGCGAGUAGGCGGGAGAAGGCGAAAGCUUUUAUCAGUAUUGUACAGACAGCUAUUGCAUGAUGGCAGCAUGCACCAGUGUGAACUUGAUUCGUGUCG